CCUACGGGAGGCAGCAGUAGGGAAUCUUCCACAAUGGUCGAAAGCCUGAUGGAGCAACGCCGCGUGGGUGAAGAAGGUCUUCGGAUCGUAAAACCCUUUUGUUAGAGAAGAAAAUGCGUGAGAGUAACUGUGCACGUAUCGACGGUAUCUGACCAGAAAGCCACGGCUAACUACGUGCCAGCAGCCGCGGUAAUACGUAGGUGGCAAGCGUUAUCCGGAUUGAUUGGGCGUAAAGGGCACGCAGGCGGUGUUUUAAGUCAGAUGUGAAAGACUUCGGCUUAACCGGAGUAGUGCAUUGGAUACUGGGAGACUUGAGUACAAAAGAGGAUAGUGGAAUUCCAUGUGUAGCGGUGAAAUGCGUAGAUAUAUGGAGGAACACCAGUGGCGAAAGCGGCUAUCUGGUCUGUAACUGACGCUGAGGUUCGAAAGCGUGGGUAGCAAACAGGAUUAGAUACCCCAGUAGUC
Molecule: ribosomal RNA, 465 nt
Filed under: uncultured bacterium
Lineage: Bacteria
Description: partial 16S ribosomal RNA
Rfam family: Bacterial small subunit ribosomal RNA
Source: RNAcentral